UGACUCUCGACAACGGAUAUCUAGGCUCUCGCAUCGAUGAAGAACGUAGCAAAAUGCGAUACUUGGUGUGAAUUGCAGAAUCCCGUGAAUCAUCGAGUUUUUGAACGCAAGUUGCGCCCAAAGUCAUUAGGCCGAGGGCACGUCUGCCUGGGUGUCAC
This 158-nucleotide ribosomal RNA is filed under the name Ceropegia arabica. RNAcentral describes it as "5.8S ribosomal RNA". It matches the Rfam family "5.8S ribosomal RNA". From Rfam's summary of the family: 5.8S ribosomal RNA (5.8S rRNA) is a component of the large subunit of the eukaryotic ribosome. It is transcribed by RNA polymerase I as part of the 45S precursor that also contains 18S and 28S rRNA. Functionally, it is thought that 5.8S rRNA may be involved in ribosome translocation. Lineage: Eukaryota; Viridiplantae; Streptophyta; Magnoliopsida; Gentianales; Apocynaceae. The record is from RNAcentral.